Oenanthe melanoleuca is the source of this 1272-nucleotide long non-coding RNA. RefSeq lists it as uncharacterized. Lineage: Eukaryota; Metazoa; Chordata; Aves; Passeriformes; Muscicapidae. The transcript has 3 exons. The record is from RefSeq and is a predicted model, not a curated record.
ACCUCAUUGUGGCCUGAAGGAGCUGCAGGAAAGACAGAAGAGACCAGGACAAGGGACAAUGGCUUUAAACUCCAGAGGGCAGGGUUAGAGGGGAUUUUGGGAAGGAAUCCCUCCCUGUGAGGGGUGGCACAGGCUGCCCUGGCAUCCCUGGGAGUGUCCAAGGCCAGGUUGGACCGGGCUUGGAGCAAUCUGGGAUAGUGGGAGGUGUGGAACAGGACAGUUUUUAAGGUUCCUCCAACACACGUGCCCAGGUCAGUCCCACAAACCGCCAGAGAGGAGUCAGGGAUGGAGUUUGAGCUGUGUGGGUGUUUCUGGGUGUUUCAGGUUUUCCCAUUGGAUCCCGAAAAAGUGGAGCCGCGGCUCCUUGUUGUUACAGGGACGUAACAGGGGUGUUGUUACUCAGGGACAUUGUUACUCAGAGGUGUUGUUACUCAGGGAUGUUGCUACAGGGAUGUAACAGGGGUGUUGUUACUCAGGGAUGUUGUUACUCAGGGGUGUAAUGGGGAUGUUGUUACAGGGAUGUAACAGGGGUGUUGUUACUCAGGGAUGUUGUUACUCAGGGGGAUGUUGUUACUCAGGGGUGUAACAGGGAUGUAACGGAGAUGUUACUCAGGGAUUUUGUUACUCAGGGGUGUUGUUACUCAGGGGCGUAACAGGGAUGUAACGGAUAUGUUACUCAGGGAUAUUGUUACUCAGAGGUGUUGUUACUCAGGGAUGUUGUUACUCAGGGGCGUAACAAGGAGGUAACGGAGAUGUUGUUACUCAGGGAUAUUGUUACUCAGAGGUGUUGUUACUCAGGGAUGUUGUUACUCAGGGGUGUAACAAGGAGGUAACGGAGAUGUUGUUACUCAGGGAUAUUGUUACUCAGGGGUGUUGUUACUCAGGGAUGUUGUUACUCAGGGGUGUAACAGGGAUGUAACGGAGAUGUUGUUAGUCAGGGAUUUUGCUACUCAGAGGUGUAACAGGAAUGUUGUUACUCAGCCUGUUCAUCCUUCAGCAGCAAACGCAGCCAGGCUCUCACUCAGCACCCAGAGGUGAAGUGCUGCAGUGUCAGAUGGCUCCAGCCACAGGAAGCCCGGACAGACAGACAGACACUGCAGCAUGUGAGAGCCCCAGGGCAGCAGAUGUGACCAUGAGCAGAAAGAACUUCCCUGCUCCAGGUUUUAAUUAUCUGGCUGCUCUAAAGGAGCUCCUCUGUAGGGUUUGUGAUGGGAAGAAGCAGCGGCUGCAGGAGCAAAACAGGGAGGGGAAAGGGUGAGCAGAGCUGCUCAG